RNAcentral lists this ribosomal RNA (1063 nucleotides) under Vibrio sp. Its description in RNAcentral is "bacterial SSU rRNA". It matches the Rfam family "Bacterial small subunit ribosomal RNA", at positions 417 to 1465 of the family's 1533-position model. Lineage: Bacteria; Pseudomonadati; Pseudomonadota; Gammaproteobacteria; Vibrionales; Vibrionaceae. The record is from RNAcentral.
UCCGGGUUGUAAAGCACUUUCCAGUCGUGAGGAAGGUAGUGUUAGUUAUUAGCUGCGAUUAUUUGACGGUAGCGACAGAAGAAGCAACCGGCUUACUUCCGUGCCAGCAAGCCGCGGUAAUACGGAGGGUGCGAGCGGUUAAUCUGGAAUUACUGGGCGUAAAGCGCAUGCAGGUGGUUUGUUAAGUCAGAUGUGAAAGCCCGGGGCUCAACCUUGGAAUAGCAUUUGAAACUGGCAGACUAGAGUACUGUAGAGGGGGGGUAGAAUUUCAGGUGUAGCGGUGAAAUGCGUAGAGAUUGAAGGAAUACCGGUGGCGAAGGCGGCCCCCUGGACAGAUACUGACACUCAGAUGCGAAAGCGUGGGGAGCAAACAGGAUUAGAUACCCUGGUAGUUCACGCCGUAAACGAUGUUUACUUGGAGGUUGUGGCCUUGAACCGUGGCUUUUGGAGCUAACGCGUUAAGUAGACCGCCUGGGGAGUACGGUUGCAAGAUUAAAACUCAAAUGAAUUGACGGGGGCCCGCACAAGCGGUGGAGCAUGUGGUUUAAUUUGAUGCAACGCGAAGAACCUUACCUACUUUUGACAUCCAGAGAACUUUCCAGAGAUGGAUUGGUGCCUUUGGGAACUUUGAGACAGGUGCUGCAUGGCUGUUGUCAGCUUGUGUUGUGAAAUGUUGGGUUAAGUCCCGCAACGAGCGCAACCCUUAUCCUUGUUUGCCAGCGAGUAAUGUCGGGAACUCCAGGGAGACUGCCGGUGAUAAACCGGAGGAAGGUGGGGACGACGUCAAGUCAUCAUGGCCCUUACGAGUAGGGCUACACACGUGCUACAAUGGCGCAUACAGAGGGCGGCCAACUUGCGAAAGUGAGCGAAUCCCAAAAAGUGCGUCGUAGUCCGGAUUGGAGUCUGCAACUCGACUCCAUGAAGUCGGAAUCGCUAGUAAUCGUGGAUCAGAAUGCCACGGUGAAUACGUUCCCGGGCCUUGUACACACCGCCCGUCACACCAUGGGAGUGGGCUGCAAAAGAAGUAGGUAGUUUAACCUUCGGGGGGACGCUACCACUUUGG